UUGAGCGAUUUACUUCGGUAAAGAGCGGCGGACGGGUGAGUAACGCGUGGGUAACCUACCCUGUACACACGGAUAACAUACCGAAAGGUAUGCUAAUACGGGAUAAUAUAUUUGAGAGGCAUCUCUUGAAUAUCAAAGGUGAGCCAGUACAGGAUGGACCCGCGUCUGAUUAGCUAGUGGGUAAGGUAACGGCUUACCAAGGCGACGAUCAGUAGCCGACCUGAGCGGGUGAUCGGCCACAUUGGAACUGAGACACGGUCCAAACUCCUACGGGAGGCAGCAGUGGGGAAUAUUGCACAAUGGGCGAAAGCCUGAUGCAGCAACGCCGCGUGAGUGAUGAAGG
This 343-nucleotide ribosomal RNA is filed under the name Clostridioides difficile. RNAcentral describes it as "bacterial SSU rRNA". It matches the Rfam family "Bacterial small subunit ribosomal RNA", at positions 62 to 414 of the family's 1533-position model. The record is from RNAcentral. Lineage: Bacteria; Bacillati; Bacillota; Clostridia; Peptostreptococcales; Peptostreptococcaceae.